AACGAACGCUGGCGGCAGGCCUAACACAUGCAAGUCGAACGGGACCUUCGGGUCUAGUGGCGGACGGGUGAGUAACGCGUGGGAACGUGCCCUUUGGUUCGGAAUAGCCCCGGGAAACUGGGAGUAAUACCGGAUAAGCCCUACGGGGGAAAGAUUUAUCGCCAAAGGAUCGGCCCGCGUUGGAUUAGGUAGUUGGUGAGGUAAUGGCUUACCAAGCCGACGAUCCAUAGCUGGUUUGAGAGGAUGAUCAGCCACACUGGGACUGAGACACGGCCAAGACUCCUACGGGAGGCAGCAGUGGGGAAUCUUAGACAAUGGGGGAAACCCUGAUCUAGCCAUGCCGCGUGAUCGAUGAAGGCCUUAGGGUUGUAAAGAUCUUUCAGUGGGGAAGAUAAUGACUGUACCCACAGAAGAAGCCCCGGCUAACUCCGUGCCAGCCGCCGCUGUAA
This 449-nucleotide ribosomal RNA is filed under the name uncultured bacterium. Its description in RNAcentral is "partial 16S ribosomal RNA". It matches the Rfam family "Bacterial small subunit ribosomal RNA", at positions 29 to 523 of the family's 1533-position model. The record is from RNAcentral.